This 501-nucleotide ribosomal RNA is filed under the name Mycobacterium sp. IEC12. RNAcentral describes it as "bacterial SSU rRNA". It matches the Rfam family "Bacterial small subunit ribosomal RNA", at positions 10 to 526 of the family's 1533-position model. The record is from RNAcentral. Lineage: Bacteria; Bacillati; Actinomycetota; Actinomycetes; Mycobacteriales; Mycobacteriaceae.
AGUUUGAUCCUGGCUCAGGACGAACGCUGGCGGCGUGCUUAACACAUGCAAGUCGAACGGAAAGGCCCCUUCGGGGGUACUCGAGUGGCGAACGGGUGAGUAACACGUGGGUAAUCUGCCCUGCACUUCGGGAUAAGCCUGGGAAACUGGGUCUAAUACCGGAUAUGACCACGAGGCGCAUGCCUUGUGGUGGAAAGCUUUUGCGGUGUGGGAUGGACCCGCGGCCUAUCAGCUUGUUGGUGGGGUGACGGCCUACCAAGGCGACGACGGGUAGCCGGCCUGAGAGGGUGUCCGGCCACACUGGGACUGAGAUACGGCCCAGACUCCUACGGGAGGCAGCAGUGGGGAAUAUUGCACAAUGGGCGCAAGCCUGAUGCAGCGACGCCGCGUGGGGGAUGACGGCCUUCGGGUUGUAAACCUCUUUCAGCAGGGACGAAGCGCAAGUGACGGUACCUGCAGAAGAAGCACCGGCCAACUACGUGCCAGCAGCCGGGGCAAUAC